RNAcentral lists this long non-coding RNA (392 nucleotides) under Citrus sinensis (sweet orange). RNAcentral's name for it is "long non-coding RNA (CSIN_LNC005841)". Lineage: Eukaryota; Viridiplantae; Streptophyta; Magnoliopsida; Sapindales; Rutaceae. The record is from RNAcentral.
UCAUCACGCGCCGCCUCCAGCUUCCCGCCAGCCGAACCCGGAGCUCCACCAAACGCCGCGGCGGCGGCCAGAGUGGUGGGGCCCUGGCGAGCCCUCGUCAACGGCCCGUUAUGGUUGUAGAUCGGAGUGUGAGCAACUAAAUUCUUCUCGCGAGUCAUGCGUUUCGACGGCGUGGAUGAAGCGUUAGUCGCUGAGAGCGCCGAGGCUUUCCCUUUGUGCGCUCCGGCUCGGCGCCGAGACGAAGCCGGCUCGGAUGCCGCUGACUCGGCUCCAGCUGCGGCCGAGCUCGUAGCCGCCGGUUGCGCUCCGGCUUCCCGGCGUUUCUCUUCCAUUAGAAUGAUUUGGUUCAGUUUCGAGUUUCGAAGCUCUUGGGUUCAGUCUAUGUUUUGCGU